This 674-nucleotide ribosomal RNA is filed under the name uncultured metazoan. RNAcentral's name for it is "partial 18S ribosomal RNA". Lineage: Eukaryota; Metazoa. The record is from RNAcentral.
GAGCUAUCAAUCUGUCAAUCCUUCUGGUGUCCGGGCCUGGUGAGAUUUCCCGUGUUGAGUCAAAUUAAGCCACAGGCUCCACUCCUGGUGGUGCCCUUCCGUCAAUUCCUUUAAGUUUCAGCUUUGCAACCAUACUUCCCCUGGAACCCACACGCUUUGGUUUCCCGGAAGCUCCCUGUCAAGUCAAAAUAAAACGCCGACAGAUCGCUAGCUGGCAUCGUUUAUGGUUAGAACUAGGGCGGUAUCUAAUCGCCUUCGAACCUCUAACUUUCGUUCUUGAUUAAUGAAAACAUUCUUGGCAAAUGCUUUCGCAGUAGUUUGUCUUCAAACGGUCCAAGAAUUUCACCUCUGUCGUUUGAAUACAAAUGCCCCCGACUGUCCCUAUUAAUCAUUAAGUCGAUUUCCGAAAACCAACAAAAUAGAAACGACUUCCUAUUCUAUUAUUCCAUGCACGAAUAUUCAAGCGAUUAAGCUUGCUUUGAGCACUCUAAUUUUUUCAAAGUAAACCUGCCAGCUCUAACAGACACUCGGCGAAGAGCACCCGUUAAAUUCUGGCAAAACACACGGGCAAAAUAGUCAGUGUUGAAACAAUUCAAACCAACCAAUGCCCGCCGAAAUCCAACUACGAGCUUUUUAACCACAACAACUUUAAUAUACGCUAUUGGAGCUGGAAU